This 253-nucleotide ribosomal RNA is filed under the name uncultured bacterium. RNAcentral's name for it is "partial 16S ribosomal RNA". It matches the Rfam family "Bacterial small subunit ribosomal RNA", at positions 524 to 776 of the family's 1533-position model. The record is from RNAcentral.
UACGGAGGGUGCAAGCGUUAUCCGGAUUUAUUGGGUUUAAAGGGUGCGUAGGCGGUAAAAUAAGUCAGUGGUGAAAUCCUGCAGCUUAACUGUAGAUGUGCCAUUGAAACUGUUUUACUUGAGUUAUCAUGAGGUAGGCGGAAUGUGUAGUGUAGCAGUGAUAUGCUUAGAUAUUACACAGAACACCGAUUGCGAAGGCAGCUUACUAAUGGUACCACUGACGCUGAGGCACGAAAGCGUGGGAUCGAACAGG